This 399-nucleotide ribosomal RNA is filed under the name uncultured bacterium. RNAcentral's name for it is "bacterial SSU rRNA". It matches the Rfam family "Bacterial small subunit ribosomal RNA", at positions 64 to 507 of the family's 1533-position model. The record is from RNAcentral.
GAGCGCGUGUAGCAAUACACGAGCGGCAGACGGGAGAGUAACACGUGGGAACGUACCCUUCGGUUCGGAAUAACCCAGGGAAACUUGGACUAAUACCGGAUACGUCCGAAAGGAGAAAGAUUUAUCGCCGAAGGAUCGGCCCGCGGCUGAUUAGCUAGUUGGUGAGGUAACGGCUCACCAAGGCGACGAUCGGUAGCUGGUCUGAGAGGAUGAUCAGCCACACUGGGACUGAGACACGGCCCAGACUCCUACGGGAGGCAGCAGUGGGGAAUAUUGGACAAUGGGCGAAAGCCUGAUCCAGCAAUGCCGCGUGAGUGAUGAAGGCCUUAGGGUUGUAAAGCUCUUUUACCAGGGAUGAUAAUGACAGUACCUGGAGAAUAAGCUCCGGCUAACUCCGUG